GUGGUGAUGACACGACCCAUUGGUGGCAUUGGGUUGUUUCCUGCUCUUUUGUCGGGUUGAUGUCUCUUUGACACAUUCCCUGUCUGUAUUCUCUAUCAAAAUCAUGCAUGAAUUUUUAUCAUUGUUAAAGGCCAUACAGUUGCCUAUACUUGCUCUCAUCCACCUCAUUUGAACUUGGGGUGGAUAGUUGUCUCAUUGGUAUUCAUACCGCAUGUUCUUAUACUUGUAUAAUGUUGACCUUUUGGUACUUUUAUUCUCAAUUUUUGUUUAAGUCAACAAGAUGUCCUGUUAAUCAUGUUGAUGUCUACUUUUGGUAAAUGUAUGUCAUUGGGUUCACAGGUUGCUGCCUCAUUGACACCUCCUUUCAUUGAUGCUGCAUCUAUUGUUUUACUGUCUUGUUUUGCAUAAAAACAAAUUUUACAGUGUAUUCCUCAUGCCAUGGUUUUGUUUCAAGGUUUAGAUAGCCAAUUGGUAUAUAUUCACUGACAACAUUUGUAUUCUUUUAUGGACUUUUUUUAGUGUGAAAAAAAUGCC
This 534-nucleotide long non-coding RNA is filed under the name Mytilus galloprovincialis (Mediterranean mussel). The record is from RNAcentral. Lineage: Eukaryota; Metazoa; Mollusca; Bivalvia; Mytilida; Mytilidae.